UCUUUCUUUCUUUCUUUCCCCAAUUCUUUAUCUCAGUCCCAUCUGUUCAUUACAAGGACCAAAAAAUGAUCCUGUGGCUAAACCUGCUGUCGUUACUAGCUGUCCUCAGAGGUGUCCUAUCUGAGGUCCAGUUAGUGGAGUCUGGAGGGGAUGUGGUGAGACCUGGGGAGUCCCUCCGUCUCUCCUGCCAAGGUUCUGGAUACAGCUUUGGUGGCUACAGCAUGUACUGGGUGAGAGAGGCUCCUGGAAUAGGAUUGGAAUGGGUAGCCUACAUAAGUCAUGAUGCCGGUGCUACUUACUACUCAGGCAAAGUCAAGGGCCGCUUCACCAUCUCCAGGGACAAUGCCAAAAGCCAGCUGUAUCUGCAAAUGAGCAGCCUCAAACCUGAAGACACGGGAGUCUAUUACUGUACGAGAGACACAGCGAGAGGAAGUGGCUCUGAAGCCAGACAAGAACCUUCUCUCUCCCUCAGAGCAGGAUUCAGUCACAAAAAGUUGAAUUUAAGUCUUUGCAUUGAGGAGCAGGUGAUCGAUCUACAUCUACAAGUGGAAUGUUUCAUGGAAUACUUUAAGACUUUUAAAAAGGGAGACCCAUAUAAAUUAGGGAAAAUAGAAGCCCAAAGAUAA
Molecule: non-coding RNA, 626 nt
Organism: Ahaetulla prasina
Lineage: Eukaryota; Metazoa; Chordata; Lepidosauria; Squamata; Colubridae
Source: the annotation of a RefSeq genome assembly